AACCUAUAGGGUACUUUCCGUUGUCCUAGAAUCAUUAAAUUUGGCAGGUCGGUAGGUCUUCUAGCACAGGUAUGGGGAAAAAUCCGAACACCGUGAAUUUGUGGUUACAUCACAA
Molecule: long non-coding RNA, 115 nt
Organism: Maniola jurtina (meadow brown)
Lineage: Eukaryota; Metazoa; Arthropoda; Insecta; Lepidoptera; Nymphalidae
Exons: 2
Source: RefSeq, a predicted model, not a curated record